GACGAACGCUGGCGGCGUGCUUAACACAUGCAAGUCGAACGGAAAGGCCCUGCUUUUGUGGGGUGCUCGAGUGGCGAACGGGUGAGUAACACGUGAGUAACCUGCCCUUGACUUUGGGAUAACUUCAGGAAACUGGGGCUAAUACCGGAUAGGAGCUCCUGCUGCAUGGUGGGGGUUGGAAAGUUUCGGCGGUUGGGGAUGGACUCGCGGCUUAUCAGCUUGUUGGUGGGGUAGUGGCUUACCAAGGCUUUGACGGGUAGCCGGCCUGAGAGGGUGACCGGCCACAUUGGGACUGAGGUACGGCCCAGACUCCUACGGGAGGCAGCAGUGGGGAAUAUUGCACAAUGAGCGGAAGCCUGAUGCAGCAACGCCGCGUGCGGGAUGACGGCCUUCGGGUUGUAAACCGCUUUCGCCUGUGACGAAGCGUGAGUGACGGUAAUGGGUAAAGAAGCACCGGCUAACUACGUG
This 468-nucleotide ribosomal RNA is filed under the name uncultured bacterium. RNAcentral describes it as "partial 16S ribosomal RNA". It matches the Rfam family "Bacterial small subunit ribosomal RNA", at positions 28 to 507 of the family's 1533-position model. The record is from RNAcentral.